AGGCCACAGCCCAAAACUCAAGGGACUUGGCGGUGCUUUAUACCCUUCUAGAGGAGCCUGUUCUAUAAUCGAUAAACCCCGAUAAACCUCACCAGUCCUUGCUAAUGCAGUCUAUAUACCGCCAUCUUCAGCGAACCCUAAAAAGGAACAGAAGUAAGCAUAACCACAACACGUAAAAACGUUAGGUCAAGGUGUAACCCAUGGAAUGGGAAGAAAUGGGCUACAUUUUCUGUCUUAAGAA
Molecule: ribosomal RNA, 241 nt
Filed under: Damaliscus pygargus dorcas (bontebok)
Lineage: Eukaryota; Metazoa; Chordata; Mammalia; Artiodactyla; Bovidae
Also listed under: 1 other name
Description: partial 12S ribosomal RNA
Source: RNAcentral